GGGGAGGGAUGGCGGGAGGAUACUGCUUAGGUGCUGGAGACGGAGUUGAGCUGGUGAAGAAGAGCUCGGGCUCAUCAUGAAACAACGAAAAGGCCAAGGGUCUGGGGGCAGCCGUGGGCGCAAAAAAAGAGGUUUAAGUGACAUUUCUCCAUCUACAAGCCUGCCACCUCUGGUUGAAGGCCAGCUACGCUGUUUUCUAAAACUUACUGUUAAUAGAGUCAUAUGGAAGAUUGCAAAGCCUCCCACUUGUGUACUUGUCCGAGUGAGAUGGUGGGGAGAAACAUCAGAUGGAACCCUCUUUUGUCCCAGGGAUGCAUUGCAGACUGAACCAAAAGCUGUGAGAACAACUACACGUUACGCUAUUCGUUGUGGUCCAAAACAGUUUACCUCUUAUCUAACAGGUAUGUUAUUGUUUUAUCAUUGCACCUGCAGACGUAAUACAAAGCAUGUGGUUAUAUUGUCAGCAAUAAGUGUUGUUGUGUACCUAGCAUAUAUGGGCAUUCUUAAUUAUUGAAGAGUCAAAGAGUUUUUAUAGUAGACAUUUUUCUUUGUAAAUUUAUUGAGUGUUACUGUGUGCCAGCAGUUUUGAAAUGUAUUACUUCUAAUCCUUACAAUAACCCUGAAAGAUAGGUAUUUUCUCUGUUUUAUAGACAAUUAAACAAGUUGGAGAGAUGAAAUGAAUACUUUCUAAGGUCACAAAGUUGAUAAAUGGCUGAAUUAGGAUUUGAACC
Molecule: long non-coding RNA, 731 nt
Filed under: Homo sapiens (human)
Lineage: Eukaryota; Metazoa; Chordata; Mammalia; Primates; Hominidae
Description: non-protein coding lnc-P4HA3-2:3
Source: RNAcentral